Molecule: long non-coding RNA, 1868 nt
Organism: Magnolia sinica
Lineage: Eukaryota; Viridiplantae; Streptophyta; Magnoliopsida; Magnoliales; Magnoliaceae
Exons: 2
Source: RefSeq, a predicted model, not a curated record
GUGGGUUUGUUCGUGGUGGACACUGGUGAAUGGCUUGGAUCUGACACCCGUACUACAUUGGCAUUGAGUGCGCAAAUUUCUGAAGCACUUCUCUAGGGAUCGUUUAGAUGCCUAUAAAUGGUUUAAGUGGUAAAUGAUUUAUAGGUGUAAAUCAUUUACAACCUCUCCUAUUUGGCUGUCAGCUGUAAAUGAUUCACAUGUAAAUGAUUUUGUGUGUUUGGAUAGCCUAUAAAUUGCUCAAGUCUUGUAAAUGGAGAGCCAAUCAUUCCAUUUAUAGCUGUUAGGCCGUAAAUGGAGAGCCUGUAAUUGAAAUCCCAACUUUUUGUUUGUAAAUCAAAAGGGCUGAAAGCUGUAAAAGAUUUACAGACUGUAAAUCAUUUACAUGCAUUUUUCUGCAUCCAAACAAAGUAAACCAUUUACAGUCAUCCAAACGACCACUAACAGUGUUUUGGAUUGUAAAAUCUGUUGGCUAUUAUAUUGCAAAUAGAUUUCUUGAAGAGUCAAAAUUUACGAUUUUUUGUUUUUUUUGGUUCCCAACAAGUCUAGGACUAGUUCUACAACAUGAAAUGCUACAUUUUCCUGUAAAAUCAUAACCACGAACUUGUUAUUAUAACCUUCCAAUGUGUUCUCCUGUGCAACAUCCUAUGCUCUUCUUUGUCAUUGAGAUAAUGGUCAGAAAGGUCCAUGCAAUUAUCAGCCUGGGAAAUUUUCAUGGCCAUGCAUUUUGGGGAUCAUGCUUCAAAAUCUCAGUAUUGGAGCAUGUGUAAGAAAGCUCCUGAAACAGGGCAUCCCAAAAUGCAUUGGAUGCAUGGGUGGUAUUGCCAAUGUUGUGAACUAUUCUCAACAUUGUGCCAAACCUCAUCUCAUAUCAUUAGGGCUGAUAACGAAUUGUAUAGGGUGAGAACUUAAACUGUGAGAGAAGGAAUUGAUCACUAACUAGUUUAUGAUGUAGAUCCACUGGUGUAUCAACUGGCUUAUAUUAUGGUUUUAAGGCAUAUAGGAAUUUAGCCACAUGGAACUCCUUAUGUUGCUGAUGUUUUUUCUUUGGAUCAGCAUUAAGUGGUUGAUACACAUUCAGCUCCUCUUACAUUCUUUUGAUUUUCAAAUAAUAUUCACCAAGGGACUUAUUUCCUUGUUAAAAUGUAAAAAUCUCUUCAAAAAAUCAAUAUGUACGGGAGAUAUUUUUAUCAAAUGAAUACGUUUCUCAUAAUGCAUUGCACAACUCCUUUGUAAUAUCUAGAAACAUUGCAUUCCCGCCAAUAGAUUUUUCCAUUCUGUUACGUCAUGAUUUGAGCAUUUUUAUGGAUCCAAUAAUUGUACGUGCUAUCACUUGCAUCUGGUUCUCCAUAGUUGGGUAUUUUAAUGUCUUUGGCCAUAAAAAAACAUUUGAAUUGAUUUAGACCAUUGGAGAUAAUUUGCUUCAUUUAGUUUUAUAGAGUCUAUUUGAUCAGUAGAAAAUCAGAUGGAUUUAGGAACUUAGAUCUUUGAUCACCCUUGAUCUUCAUAAGGAGAGAAAAUAAAGAGAAUCCUAUGGUGCUUUUACAUGAAUUAGGGAUGACUCCGUUGGAUAUAAGAAUGCUCUAAUUACACGUUCCACAUGAUGCACACAUUGCACUUGGCGAAACAAUCAGCAUGCAUGUUCCGAUCGAAUGCGAGAGGAGAGAUGAUCAUGAAUAUAACAUUCACCAUCUUAUACACGGACCAUUACAAAGGUUCGACACACCAAAACAAGAAAAAAGAAACCCGACAAAUGGAGUGCAAAGAGGAAAAAAGAAGAAUUUAUGAGAUAGAAGAGAUAAAUCAUAAUAAAAUCCUCUAUGAUACCAUGUAGAAUUGUAUAAAAGUGAAAGCAAAUAGAAAAGAGAAAU